AGAUCGAACGCUGGCGGCAUGCCUAACACAUGCAAGUCGAACGGGAGUAGCAAUACUCUAGUGGCGGACGGGUGAGGAAUACGUAGGAAUUUGCCCUUAAGUGGGGGAUAACCCGGGGAAACCCGGAUUAAUACCGCAUGACCUCGAAAGAGCAAAGUGGGGGAUCGCAAGACCUCACGCUUUUGGAGAAGCCUACGUCGGAUUAGCUAGUUGGUGAGGUAAUGGCUCACCAAGGCGACGAUCCGUAACUGGUCUGAGAGGAUGAUCAGUCACACCGGAACUGAGACACGGUCCGACUCCGUACGGGAGGCAGCGAGUGGGGAAUAGUGGAACAAGUGGGCGCGAAGCCUGACUCCAGCAAUGCCGCGUGUGUGAAGACGGUCCGUUCGGGUUAGUAAACGUCUAACGUUUAAGGUUAGGUAAACGAAAAAACGUCG
This 437-nucleotide ribosomal RNA is filed under the name uncultured soil bacterium. RNAcentral describes it as "bacterial SSU rRNA". It matches the Rfam family "Bacterial small subunit ribosomal RNA", at positions 26 to 495 of the family's 1533-position model. The record is from RNAcentral.